CUGAUGUAGUUUAGAAAAACAUUGACCUUGUAAGUCAAAGAACGAGAACUAAAACUCUCCAACAGUAA
This 68-nucleotide transfer RNA is filed under the name Pseudotriton ruber (red salamander). Its description in RNAcentral is "tRNA-Thr". It matches the Rfam family "tRNA". From Rfam's summary of the family: Transfer RNA (tRNA) molecules are approximately 80 nucleotides in length. Their secondary structure includes four short double-helical elements and three loops (D, anti-codon, and T loops). Lineage: Eukaryota; Metazoa; Chordata; Amphibia; Caudata; Plethodontidae. The record is from RNAcentral.